This 274-nucleotide ribosomal RNA is filed under the name uncultured bacterium. RNAcentral describes it as "partial 16S ribosomal RNA". It matches the Rfam family "Bacterial small subunit ribosomal RNA", at positions 523 to 796 of the family's 1533-position model. The record is from RNAcentral.
AUACGUACUGCGCAAACGUUAUUCGGAAUCACUGGGCUUACAGGGUGCGUAGGCGGUUCGCCAGGUCAGAUGUGAAAUCCCACAGCUCAACUGUGGAACUGCAUUUGAAACCUGCGAACUUGAGUAGACUAGAGGUACACGGAACUUCAGGUGGAGCGGUGAAAUGUGUUGAGAUCUGAAGGAACACCAGAGGCGAAAGCGGUGUACUGGAGUCUGUCUGACGCUGAGGCACGAAAGCUAGGGGAGCGAACGGGAUUAGAAACCCCAGUAGUCC